RNAcentral lists this long non-coding RNA (367 nucleotides) under Elaeis guineensis (African oil palm). RNAcentral describes it as "long non-coding RNA (EGUI_LNC003116)". The record is from RNAcentral. Lineage: Eukaryota; Viridiplantae; Streptophyta; Magnoliopsida; Arecales; Arecaceae.
GGCAUGAUUUUUUUUUAUUAAAAAAAACUUUCUUUAGUCUUAUUCUUAGUUUUUUUUUAUUUGCUUUUUAACUUGCUUAGUUACUUAGUCAAACUUUCUUUCUUUCAAAAAAAAAAAUCUCUACAUUGACACCUCAUAAUCUACUUAGGAAAUUAGAUACCUAAUCACAAAACUUAAAAAGUGAAACAAAUUAAUUUACUCUUGACCAACUACCAAAUCUGACCAUCUUUUCUUCUUGCAUUACAUAAUUUCAUAAAACAUCUUAAGAGCACAAACCCUAAAUAAGAUAAGGUGAAGAUUUCAUCAUCCUUCUUUGGUCCACAAACCAUUAUCUUACAUACUGCAUUGAUCUAAAUCUUAAUAUAAA